CGAGCGGCGGACGGGUGAGUAACGCGUAGGAAUCUACCCAGUAGAGGGGGAUAGCCCGGGGAAACUCGGAUUAAUACCGCAUACGCCCUAAGGGGGAAAGGCCGGGAUCUUCGGACCGGUCGCUAUUGGAUGAGCCUGCGUAAGAUUAGCUAGUUGGUAGGGUAAAGGCCUACCAAGGCGACGAUCUUUAGCUGGUCUGAGAGGAUGAUCAGCCACACUGGAACUGAGACACGGUCCAGACUCC
This 244-nucleotide ribosomal RNA is filed under the name uncultured bacterium. RNAcentral describes it as "partial 16S ribosomal RNA". It matches the Rfam family "Bacterial small subunit ribosomal RNA", at positions 92 to 339 of the family's 1533-position model. The record is from RNAcentral.